CGGGCAGGUGGUCUGUUAAGUCGUUUGUGAAAACCCGGGGCUCAACCCCGCGGAAUGCAGACGAUACUGGCAGGCUGGAGAUCGGUAGAGGCUAGCGGAAUUCCAGGUGUAGCGGUGGAAUGCGUAGAUAUCUGGAAGAACACCUGUGGCGAAGGCGGCUAGCUGGGCCGAGUCUGACACUCAUCCGCGAAAGCGUGGGGAGCAAACA
Molecule: ribosomal RNA, 208 nt
Filed under: uncultured bacterium
Lineage: Bacteria
Description: partial 16S ribosomal RNA
Rfam family: Bacterial small subunit ribosomal RNA
Source: RNAcentral